CAACAAUCUUUCGUCCACCUUCUCCACUGCAUUGUCGAAGAAAAUUCUAGUAGUUCUGCCUCCUCCUUUGAAUCAUAUUUUAGCUCGACUGGUCUUCACUGUUACCUAAUUUAGAUAUUGUGAUGUAUCUUUCCCUUGAAACAUUCUAAAGCUCCAUCGGUUCUACUUGGAAGGAACAGGAACGAGGACUUGAAAACUCUACUUUGUCCACUAGUCAAGGAAUAGGAAUGAUGCAUAAGAACUUCACGGCUUUUGAGAAAUAAAACAUACAAAUUAAUAAUUCAUUUCCUACAUCUACUAAUCAAGUAAAGAAAUAUACCCAAGAAGUUGAAACAAGUACGAUCUUUUCAAAUGUAUUGUAUUUUUUUAAAAAUCAAUUGUGUGUUCAAGUUUUUGAGCUCAAAGAUAUUUUCCUGGUUUGUGUUAUUUGACAUGUUUGACAUGGAUGUAAAGGGCGGGAAAGAUGGAAAGCCACUAGAUUUGACAACUAUUUUCUUUUAGACUUGUAAGAAAGAUAACAAGCUUG
Solanum pennellii is the source of this 526-nucleotide long non-coding RNA. RefSeq lists it as uncharacterized. The record is from RefSeq and is a predicted model, not a curated record. NCBI's taxonomy places the organism in Eukaryota, Viridiplantae, Streptophyta, Magnoliopsida, Solanales, Solanaceae. The transcript is spliced from 3 exons.